RNAcentral lists this transfer RNA (63 nucleotides) under Proasellus escolai. Its description in RNAcentral is "transfert RNA-N(AAC)". The record is from RNAcentral. Lineage: Eukaryota; Metazoa; Arthropoda; Malacostraca; Isopoda; Asellidae.
AGAAGAAAAACCAAAUAGAGGUGAAUUUUUGUUAAUAAUUUUAUUGGAUUUUCCCUUCUUCUG